UUUAUAGUAACAGAUGGCAACUGGACUGAAGAGGUGAAAAAAUGACAAUAGAAUAGUAUUAAACACUGCUACUUUCAGUAGGCCUAAAGAUGUCCUAGACCGCUGAAAUAUUCAAGCUGUCCUUUUACCAUACUGGAAAGCAGAUGAGAAUGGGAUUUUGGUUAUAUUAACAGUGUUCCAUUUUUUUUAAUUCAAGCAACCUGUUUAGCUUAAAACUACCUAUUCAAGUAACUAUUUCACUUUUCUCUUGAAAGUAACAUUCCUCCCUAGCAUUUUCUGCUUCCAAAAUACAAUACAAUUACAACACCUUUAGUCUCAAAUUGAACAAAAAACAUUUUUUCCCCAAAAAAUGCCUACAGGACAUAUAAAACCAAAUAUAUACAUACAGUCUCAUCUCAUGUAUUUUAUACAUCUGUAGAAAAAGUACAAUCCAAUCUUAAGGUAACUCUCACUCAAACAACCCAGUAAUGGAGACGGGGAAAUCAAGAGCAAAUUAGCUAUUGGAAUUCAAAGGCAAGCAAUUCAACGCUUAGAAAAGGAAGCCUUUCUCUAACUCUUUGUGCUGCCUCCUACAUGCAUAUAUAACCCACACCUUGUGAAUUAUCAUACCUAUAUAGCAUGCAUGAAAACAGUUCUUUCAAACUAUAACACAUGAAGCUACAAACAUUGUGUUUUGACAAAAUAAAAUAAGCUCCCAACAGCUUGUUCUGCCUACGCAACACAGAUGAACAAGGUAAGGUGCUCUACUAGACAUUAAAGUUGUUUGUGACCUCUGCUGAAAGAUUCCAAUUUCUGAGACAGAAAAACACUCAGAAUGGCUAUUAAUCUUACAAGACAGCAAUAAUAUACAUACGAAAAGAUCUUACUGCCCAGCUGUUACAUAUCUAUGGAAUCCUUCCCAUCAGUUCCACUCUGUAUUCCCAAUUUAGUAAUUUAGGUGACAGAAAAAAGCAGACUUAAGGAAUUGUGAAGCAGUUAUUUUCCCUCAUGAUUAAAAACUAACAUAUUUCUCCAAGCAACAGCAAUCAGAGUGUUUCUUACUCUAGAGAAGACUUACCAUUUUUUAAUGCUGCUAACAAAGCAAAGACACUGGCAUCCAAGAUGUUUCCAUCGUAGUCCAGACAUAUGAUGUCACAGUAUAACACCCAAGCAAGCUAUCAAAAAAGGUUUGCACAUGUGAGUUAUUACAGCAGCUAAGCAGAUGGUGCAGUAUCUAAGAAUACACUGGCCACACAAACAAAGAUACUUCUUUCAUAAGAACAAAAUUUUAUGCUCUAGACCUAAACCAAGCUAUGUAAAUUGGAAAGAAAAAAAAAAAAAAAACAUCCAAUACCUUCUUUAAAGUCUUACCACCAUGAUCUUGCUAGUAUGUAUUUAUAUACAACUAAAGAUACGACUUACCUUGCCAUUUGCAAUACACAGAUCUUCCUUUGCUAUUAUCUGUGAACUAAAAUAAAACGAGAAAGUAAAACAGCAAAUAGAAAAUUGUCUUUCAGAGUUGUUUGUGGUGUAAACGCAGUAAGAAGGUCCUUACUUUUCAAUCACAUCGGCAAUGAACUGGCUUGCUGCUUGAGCCUCUUCGCCAGGAGGUCCAGAGCGAAACCUUGUUGAACAGAGGGAUGGCAGUUCUACAUUUGGAACUAGGUAACAAAAAUCAUCAGUUAAACAUUAAAGAAAUCAUGGCAUGGGAAAUCAAAAAUAAGAUAAUAUGCACUUUUAAUACCCUUUCAUGUACUUCAAACGAAAAGCAAGACCAAGAAUUCUUCAGUCAAGCCUUCCUACUUUUCCCCUCAAAAACAGUUACUUACAAAUGAGUUUGGACUGAAGAGUUUGUAGAAGACUGUACUUGGAAAAGAAAUCACAGCAUGGUCUAAGAAAGGUAGUUAAGGCCUGCUGCUCACUGCACAUAAGGAUUCUUGCCUCUACUUGAGCCAGCUGCUCAUCGAGCUUAGAACAAGGCGCAGGCCAAGAGUCAGCACCUGUCAAGAUGCCAGGGAUCAGCUGUUCACUUAUCAGUAUGUGGAUAGAUGCUGCCUUCAGCAUCCAGAACAUGAAGCUGCUGGUCUUAGAAGGAGUCACACUUCUAAGACCACCUAAAUUUUGCUGUGCGUACCAGCCCGGGGCAGGACCAGAGAAAAAUGCUCAAAAAUAUUACUGUACUGUACAUUCUUUUUAAUGUUUGUUGGAACUAUAAAUAAAAAUCCUUCCUCUUC
Molecule: non-coding RNA, 2213 nt
Organism: Anas platyrhynchos (mallard)
Lineage: Eukaryota; Metazoa; Chordata; Aves; Anseriformes; Anatidae
Source: RefSeq, a predicted model, not a curated record